UUUAUGGAGAGUUUGAUCCUGGCUCAGAGUGAACGCUGGCGGCGUGCCUAAUACAUGCAAGUCGAACGAUGAAGCUUCUAGCUUGCUAGAAUGCUGAUUAGUGGCGCACGGGUGAGUAACGCAUAGGUCAUGCGCCUCUUAGUUUGGGAUAGCCAUUGGAAACGAUGAUUAAUACCAGAUACUCCCUACGGGGGAAAGAUUUAUCGCUAAGAGAUCAGCCUAUGUCCUAUCAGCUUGUUGGUAAGGUAAUGGCUUACCAAGGCUAUGACGGGUAUCCGGCCUGAGAGGGUGAACGGACACACUGGAACUGAGACACGGUCCAGACUCCUACGGGAGGCAGCAGUAGGGAAUAUUGCUCAAUGGGGGAAACCCUGAAGCAGCAACGCCGCGUGGAGGAUGAAGGUUUUAGGAUUGUAAACUCCUUUUGUUAGAGAAGAUAAUGACGGUAUCUAACGAAUAAGCACCGGCUAACUCCGUGCCAGCAGCCGCGGUAAUACGGAGGGUGCAAGCGUUACUCGGAAUCACUGGGCGUAAAGAGCGCGUAGGCGGGAUAGUCAGUCAGGUGUGAAAUCCUAUGGCUUAACCAUAGAACUGCAUUUGAAACUACUAUUCUAGAGUGUGGGAGAGGUAGGUGGAAUUCUUGGUGUAGGGGUAAAAUCCGUAGAGAUCAAGAGGAAUACUCAUUGCGAAGGCGACCUGCUGGAACAUUACUGACGCUGAUUGCGCGAAAGCGUGGGGAGCAAACAGGAUUAGAUACCCUGGUAGUCCACGCCCUAAACGAUGGAUGCUAGUUGUUGGAGGGCUUAGUCUCUCCAGUAAUGCAGCUAACGCAUUAAGCAUCCCGCCUGGGGAGUACGGUCGCAAGAUUAAAACUCAAAGGAAUAGACGGGGACCCGCACAAGCGGUGGAGCAUGUGGUUUAAUUCGAAGAUACACGAAGAACCUUACCUAGGCUUGACAUUGAGAGAAUCCGCUAGAAAUAGUGGAGUGUCUAGCUUGCUAGACCUUGAAAACAGGUGCUGCACGGCUGUCGUCAGCUCGUGUCGUGAGAUGUUGGGUUAAGUCCCGCAACGAGCGCAACCCCCUUUCUUAGUUGCUAACAGGUUAUGCUGAGAACUCUAAGGAUACUGCCUCCGUAAGGAGGAGGAAGGUGGGGACGACGUCAAGUCAUCAUGGCCCUUACGCCUAGGGCUACACACGUGCUACAAUGGGGUGCACAAAGAGAAGCAAUACUGCGAAGUGGAGCCAAUCUUCAAAACACCUCUCAGUUCGGAUUGUAGGCUGCAACUCGCCUGCAUGAAGCUGGAAUCGCUAGUAAUCGCAAAUCAGCCAUGUUGCGGUGAAUACGUUCCCGGGUCUUGUACUCACCGCCCGUCACACCAUGGGAGUUGUGUUUGCCUUAAGUCAGGAUGCUAAAUUAGCUACUGCCCACGGCACACACAGCGACUGGGGUGAAGUCGUAACAAGGUAACCGUAGGUGAACCUGCGGUUGGAUCACCUCCUUUCUAGA
This 1509-nucleotide ribosomal RNA is filed under the name Helicobacter pylori. RNAcentral's name for it is "bacterial SSU rRNA". It matches the Rfam family "Bacterial small subunit ribosomal RNA". The record is from RNAcentral. Lineage: Bacteria; Pseudomonadati; Campylobacterota; Epsilonproteobacteria; Campylobacterales; Helicobacteraceae.